GGAGAGAUGGCUGAGCGGUUGAAAGCGCACGCCUCGAAAGCGUGUGACCUCUAACGGGGUCCCUGGGUUCAAAUCCCAGUCUCUCCGCCA
RNAcentral lists this transfer RNA (90 nucleotides) under Candidatus Omnitrophota bacterium. Its description in RNAcentral is "tRNA-Ser". It matches the Rfam family "tRNA". From Rfam's summary of the family: Transfer RNA (tRNA) molecules are approximately 80 nucleotides in length. Their secondary structure includes four short double-helical elements and three loops (D, anti-codon, and T loops). Lineage: Bacteria; Pseudomonadati; Candidatus Omnitrophota. RNAcentral also lists the same sequence under 1 other name. The record is from RNAcentral.